GAUGAAGAACGUAGCGAAAUGCGAUAAGUAAUGUGAAUUGCAGAAUUCAGUGAAUCAUCGAAUCUUUGAACGCACAUUGCGCCCCCUGGUAUUCCGGGGGGCAUGCCUGUCCGAGCGUCAUUACAACCCUCAAGCUCAGCUUGGUGUUGGGCCCCGCCGCCCCGGCGGGCCCUAAAGUCAGUGGCGGUGCCGUCCGGCUCCGAGCGUAGUAAUUCUUCUCGCUCUGGAGGUCCGGUCGUGUGCUCGCCAGCAACCCCCAAUUUUUUUCAGGUUGACCUCGGAUCAGGUAGGGAUACCCGCUGAACUUAAGCAUAUCAAUAGCUGAGGA
Molecule: unclassified non-coding RNA, 328 nt
Filed under: soil metagenome
Description: partial contains 5.8S ribosomal RNA, internal transcribed spacer 2, and large subunit ribosomal RNA
Rfam family: 5.8S ribosomal RNA (bases 1-120)
Source: RNAcentral